CGGACCCAGAUAUAGAGGAGUAUAACACCAGGAGGUUCCACUUCGCUGAGCAUAUCUCGCCAUCAAGGGAGAGCAGGAGUCUCGCUGAGAGCCAUGAGAAGAUCAGUAAGCUCCAAGCCUGGUGCAAGUUCCAGGACAAGUUCAUUGGUAAGUGCUUCAAGAUGUGCACAUCCAUACAGAAGAAGUUGAACCGCUCCUCUACUAGCACUACUGCACCA
RNAcentral lists this microRNA precursor (218 nucleotides) under Arabidopsis lyrata subsp. lyrata. Its description in RNAcentral is "pre miRNA MIR854". It matches the Rfam family "MIR854 microRNA precursor family". Lineage: Eukaryota; Viridiplantae; Streptophyta; Magnoliopsida; Brassicales; Brassicaceae. The record is from Rfam by way of RNAcentral.